ACGGGUGAGUAAUGUCUGGGAAACUGCCUGGUGGAGGGGGAUAACUACUGGAAACGGUAGCUAAUACCGCAUAACGUCGCAAGACCAAAGAGGGGGACCUUCGGGCCUCUUGCCAUCAGAUGUGCCCAGAUGGGAUUAGCUAGUAGGUGGGGUAAUGGCUCACCUAGGCGACGAUCCCUAGCUGGUCUGAGAGGAUGACCAGCCACACUGGAACUGAGACACGGUCCAGACUCCUACGGGAGGCAGCAGUGGGGAAUAUUGCACAAUGGGCGCAAGCCUGAUGCAGCCAUGCCGCGUGUGUGAAGAAGGCCUUCGGGUUGUAAAGCACUUUCAGCGAGGAGGAAGGUGGUGAGCUUAAUACGCUCAUCAAUUGACGUUACUCGCAGAAGAAGCACCGGCUAACUCCGUGCCAGCAGCCGCGGUAAUACGGAGGGUGCAAGCGUUAAUCGGAAUUACUGGGCGUAAAGCGCACGCAGGCGGUUUGUUAAGUCAGAUGUGAAAUCCCCGGGCUCAACCUGGGAACUGCAUUUGAAACUGGCAAGCUAGAGUCUCGUAGAGGGGGGUAGAAUUCCAGGUGUAGC
This 581-nucleotide ribosomal RNA is filed under the name uncultured bacterium. RNAcentral describes it as "bacterial SSU rRNA". It matches the Rfam family "Bacterial small subunit ribosomal RNA", at positions 102 to 679 of the family's 1533-position model. The record is from RNAcentral.